This 1087-nucleotide long non-coding RNA is filed under the name Helianthus annuus (common sunflower). Lineage: Eukaryota; Viridiplantae; Streptophyta; Magnoliopsida; Asterales; Asteraceae. The record is from RNAcentral.
CACACUUUAAUUGUUCCACUCUAGUGCCUUGGUCUGCAACCAGCAACCACGUAACUCUCGUUAGCCCUAAUUCUGAAUGAAGAAUCAUUGGUUAAUGGAGGAAGAUGGUGUAGUUCAUGCUAGUUCUGAAAUCAAUUUAAUCAACAAUGAAGACACCGUACUCUGAAACAAUACAUUCAUUGUCUUUUUAACCCUACAAAUCUUCGACAACCACAUGUUUCCGCCGCCUCUCUAUCGUACCUGAUUCAACACAACCACCGUCACAAGAAUUACCACAAUUCGUCAUCACUGUUCCCUCAGGCUCUCCUCAAAAGCGCUCAAACUGAAACAUCUGAUUCAAAUCGAACAAAUGGAUGAAAUACUAUCAACUUGAAGGUGAGUCCUAGUGCAUCACAUGUUUGAGAUUGAUCGCGUUUAUCUUAGCUCUGCUUAUUGUGUUGUUGUACUUGAUCAUGAAAGGAAGUGGACGUAUGUGUUGAGGAAGGAAGGGCUACCUGAUGUUGGUAAGCAAUUAUAUUGACCUGUUUAUCUUUGUUCUCCUUCUUGUUGCUAGCACAAAAUACCGUGGGGAAUUCGAAGAAAGAUUAAAGAAGUUAAUGGAAGAAACAACACAAAGUGAUGAUAUAAUUCUUUUUAUUGAUGAGGUUUACACUUUAAUUGGAGCUAGAGCAGCAGAAGUUGCUAUUGAUGCUGCUAAUAUAUUAAAAUGAGCCCUUACCAGAGGUGAAUUGCAGGUGGCAAUGUAUACACUUGAUAAAUACCGAAAACAUAUUGAAUAAUAUCCAGCGUUAGAGAGAUAUCCAGCGUUAGAGAGACGGUUCCAGCCAGUUAAGGUGAAACAAGCAAGGAUGAACAAACAAAAAUUUUGGCUUAUAGCCCCGAAGAAGCUCUGUAAUUGUUAUUGGAAUGGCUGGACUGCUUGAUUAUUUAUUUGUAUAACAUCAUUUUUUUCAUGUUUCCAUAUCAUACUCACUAGUUUGUUUGCAUGCCAACGUGUGUGAGAUAUCACCACUUUAUGCUGUACUUUUUUUUAUACACGCCCAAUUACUAACAUUGGUAGGUUUGUUUGUUUUUAUUGUAUUUAUAU